Molecule: ribosomal RNA, 679 nt
Filed under: Microbispora sp. I12A-01106
Lineage: Bacteria; Bacillati; Actinomycetota; Actinomycetes; Streptosporangiales; Streptosporangiaceae
Description: bacterial SSU rRNA
Rfam family: Bacterial small subunit ribosomal RNA
Source: RNAcentral
AGUGGCGAACGGGUGAGUAACACGUGGGCAAUCUGCCCUUCACUCUGGGACAAGCCCUGGAAACGGGGUCUAAUACCGGAUAACACUCGCCGAGGCAUCUCGGGGGGUUGAAAGCUCCGGCGGUGAAGGAUGAGCCCGCGGCCUAUCAGCUUGUUGGUGAGGUAGAAGCUCACCAAGGCGACGACGGGUAGCCGGCCUGAGAGGGCGACCGGCCACACUGGGACUGAGACACGGCCCAGACUCCUACGGGAGGCAGCAGUGGGGAAUAUUGCACAAUGGGCGAAAGCCUGAUGCAGCGACGCCGCGUGAGGGAUGACGGCCUUCGGGUUGUAAACCUCUUUCAGCAGGGAAGAAGCGAAAGUGACGGUACCUGCAGAAGAAGCGCCGGCUAACUACGUGCCAGCAGCCGCGGUAAUACGUAGGGCGCAAGCGUUGUCCGGAAUUAUUGGGCGUAAAGAGCUCGUAGGCGGUCUGUCACGUCGGAUGUGAAAGCCCGGGGCUUAACCCCGGGUCUGCAUUCGAUACGGGCAGACUAGAGUGUGGUAGGGGAGAUCGGAAUUCCUGGUGUAGCGGUGAAAUGCGCAGAUAUCAGGAGGAACACCGGUGGCGAAGGCGGAUCUCUGGGCCAUUACUGACGCUGAGGAGCGAAAGCGUGGGGAGCGAACAGGAUUAGAUACCC